AAACCUCAAUUAAUGCAAAUGUAUUUAUUUACCAUCUUUAAAAAAAUCGAAUCACUAUUAUCAGAUCGUUUUGAUAUUUUUUAAUUAUAUAUAUAAACAAUGCAACAGGAAAUAAGUAAUCACAGAUACCUCACACUGACAAUGCUUGAUGGUUUACUGAAUCAGGAUGGAGUGGCAUGGCUGCAUUCACACUAUUGUGUCAUCUUUUAGGUAUAAACUGGUCAAUAGUCCUAUCUCAAAGGGCUGUUUGCUUUGAAAAUGAAGUUAUGGAUUUCAGAAUUUUAGAUUGGGGCUACUCAACCCAUAAUUUCAAAUUAGUAAUAAAAUUUCCCAUCAUAAUACAUUGUUUAUUAAUGAGAAAAAUUCUGAUUUUACUAUGAGUACAAGGAAUCCUUGAUUUAUAGCAGUGAAACAUUCAAAAAUUUUGGUUGUAAUUCUAAUCCAUCAUAACUUGAAACAUGAUUUCCCAUAGGCC
RNAcentral lists this long non-coding RNA (475 nucleotides) under Androctonus crassicauda. The record is from RNAcentral. Lineage: Eukaryota; Metazoa; Arthropoda; Arachnida; Scorpiones; Buthidae.